UACAGUGAUCAGGUUACGAGG
RNAcentral lists this microRNA (21 nucleotides) under Chrysemys picta (Painted turtle). RNAcentral's name for it is "cpi-miR-1329-5p". Lineage: Eukaryota; Metazoa; Chordata; Testudines; Emydidae. The record is from miRBase by way of RNAcentral.